AAUUCGCCCUUUGUACACACCGCCCGCCACACCAUGGAAGUUGGUUUCGCCCGAAGUCGUUACUCCAACCGUUCGCGGAGGAGGACGCCGAAGGCAGGGCUGAUGACUGGGGUGAAGUCGUAACAAGGUAGCCGUACCGGAAGGUGUGGCUGGAUCACCUCCUUAGAGGGAGACCUACCCAUUUUAGAGUGCAGUUAUUAGUAUAAGCGGUCAAGAUGGAGUCAACCGAGGUCGAGCGGAGUUUAGCCUGAUAGAGAUUUGAUUGCAGGCUAGACGAAUAGGUUUUAUGGAGUUGGUUUUCAAACUAUGAUUCUGGGUUUAGGGGCUAUUAGCUCAGGUGGUUAGAGCGCACCCCUGAUAAGGGUGAGGUCCCUGGUUCGAGUCCAGGAUGGCCCACUUGUGGGGGUAUAGCUCAGUUGGUAGAGCGCCUGCUUUGCAAGCAGGAUGUCAGCGGUUCGAGUCCGCUUACCUCCACCACUGUUAGAGGAGGGAGAGGUCAGCCCUCUGUCGUUUAGGCUACUGAGAGAAGUAGUGAGAAGAUAGAGUGCUGGGCUUGGAGUU
RNAcentral lists this unclassified non-coding RNA (561 nucleotides) under uncultured Leptolyngbya sp. Its description in RNAcentral is "partial contains 16S ribosomal RNA and 16S-23S ribosomal RNA intergenic spacer". The stretch from base 1 to 165 matches the Rfam family "Bacterial small subunit ribosomal RNA", at positions 1371 to 1533 of the family's 1533-position model. The record is from RNAcentral. Lineage: Bacteria; Bacillati; Cyanobacteriota; Cyanophyceae; Leptolyngbyales; Leptolyngbyaceae.